AAAUGUUGCAAAUCUUUUAGAAUUUGUCUAGCAGGUUUUCAAGUUUUCACUAGAAAACUCCC
This 62-nucleotide small nuclear RNA is filed under the name Otolemur garnettii (small-eared galago). RNAcentral's name for it is "U7 small nuclear RNA". It matches the Rfam family "U7 small nuclear RNA". From Rfam's summary of the family: Animal histone pre-mRNAs are spliced by a different mechanism than nuclear pre-mRNAs and self-splicing introns. This processing involves the U7 snRNP, which contains only one RNA species: U7. Lineage: Eukaryota; Metazoa; Chordata; Mammalia; Primates; Galagidae. The record is from Rfam by way of RNAcentral.